GGAGAGGUGGUCGAGUGGUUGAUGGCUCUGGUCUUGAAAACCAGCAUGUCCGCAAGGGCAUCGUGGGUUCGAAUCCCACCCUCUCCG
Molecule: transfer RNA, 87 nt
Filed under: Prochlorococcus sp.
Lineage: Bacteria; Bacillati; Cyanobacteriota; Cyanophyceae; Synechococcales; Prochlorococcaceae
Also listed under: 20 other names
Description: tRNA-Ser
Rfam family: tRNA
About the family: Transfer RNA (tRNA) molecules are approximately 80 nucleotides in length. Their secondary structure includes four short double-helical elements and three loops (D, anti-codon, and T loops).
Source: RNAcentral